Molecule: ribosomal RNA, 253 nt
Filed under: uncultured bacterium
Lineage: Bacteria
Description: partial 16S ribosomal RNA
Rfam family: Bacterial small subunit ribosomal RNA
Source: RNAcentral
UACAGAGGGGGCAAGCGUUGUUCGGAAUUACUGGGCGUAAAGGGCGCGUAGGCGGCCUGUUAAGUCGAACGUGAAAUCCCCGGGCUCAACCCGGGAACUGCGUCCGAUACUGGCAGGCUUGAAUCCGGGAGAGGGAUGCGGAAUUCCAGGUGUAGCGGUGAAAUGCGUAGAGAUCCGGAGGAACACCAGUGGCGAAGGCGACACGCUGGGCCGUACCUGACACUGAUGCGCGACAGCAUGGGGAGCAAACAGG